This 155-nucleotide ribosomal RNA is filed under the name Sticta globulifuliginosa. RNAcentral describes it as "5.8S ribosomal RNA". It matches the Rfam family "5.8S ribosomal RNA". Rfam says of the family: 5.8S ribosomal RNA (5.8S rRNA) is a component of the large subunit of the eukaryotic ribosome. It is transcribed by RNA polymerase I as part of the 45S precursor that also contains 18S and 28S rRNA. The record is from RNAcentral. Lineage: Eukaryota; Fungi; Ascomycota; Lecanoromycetes; Peltigerales; Lobariaceae.
AAAACUUUCAACAACGGAUCUCUUGGUUCUGGCAUCGAUGAAGAACGCAGCGAAAUGCGAUAAGUAAUGUGAAUUGCAGAAUUCAGUGAAUCAUCGAAUCUUUGAACGCACAUUGCGCCCCUUGGUAUUCCGAGGGGCAUACCUGUCCGAGCGUC